Molecule: long non-coding RNA, 10699 nt
Filed under: Capsicum annuum
Lineage: Eukaryota; Viridiplantae; Streptophyta; Magnoliopsida; Solanales; Solanaceae
Description: long non-coding RNA (CANN_LNC000857)
Source: RNAcentral
GCAAGAAUUUUCAAUUCCACAUUUUCAUCGACUUCCUCUAUGUCUCUUUUGGUAGUUUUUCUUUCUCCUAAUUUUGCUCAAAUUUUUGUUUGUCAUACUCUAUUAUAUUGCUUUCAGUCUAUUUAUGAUUGUCUCUGACUGCUUUUUCUGUGUUUUUUUCUGUGAGUUCCAAUUAAGAUUUAUUUUCUCCUUUUAGUUGAUAUAUAUUGAAAAAUAUUGAACAUAUAUGCAUAUGUAUUUGAGAGUUUUUUUCUUUAAAAUUUUUCAAUUUCAAAUCUAAAAAAAGUGUAGAUGGUGUGCUUCAUAUCAUUUAGUUUUGGUUCUGGUGUGUUUUUCUCUAUUUUUGUUUUUCUCUUUACAUGCAAUUAUUAUGAAGAAAUUUUAGUAUCUGUUUGUUUCUCUGUAUCAUGAGUUGCUUUUUGUUGGAUUUCACAUGCGGCCAGGUAACGAUACCCAAUUUGCAUCAUAUGCAUCUAGGGUGUUUGAUAAUAUAUCUAAAUCAACUAUUUUUUAAAAAAGGUACUUGCUUUUUCCUAUUGCUCUGAACUUUCUUUGUUCUCACUUUGAAUUUCAAGGUUAUUGUUGUUGUCGAUUCUUCUUUUUGUCACAUUAUUGUAGUGCUUCAAUUACCUCAAUACUUUUAUUUAUUGUAUCUAUUUUUUGUAUCUUUAAUGCUUUACACAUAUCUACAUCUGCUCACUUUAUUAGUGGAAUAGAUUUAACAUAAAAUCAAAACUUAAACAGAUAAAGUUCAUUACACAUUAUCAAAAUAGUACACUAGAUAAAAUCUAAGUACUCAAAUCCCAAACUUGUUCAUUGUCAUCAUUGAUGGCAAAGAAACUGUUGACGCUAAUACCAUUCGGGAUAUCCCACAUAAUAGAACCGUAGUCCUUAGCUGGUAUAGAAGACAAGUCUACGAAUUCAUUGUCUAGCACUUUGUCAACUCCAUUCAGACUUCGGUUUAUUCUAUUGUGUAAUGCUCCUUCUUCGAGAUUAAUGUAGGAUCUUCAUUAUUUUAAUUUUCUUUUUGCUUUCUGGUUGGAGUUGUUCCUUUUUAAUAAUUUGUAAAAAAUUCUCUUAAAUACCAAUCUUCUGUGAAUGUUGUAACAAGGAGUCCCUGAUGAAGAGAAUCUUUCUCAUGCAUCUUAAUUAGUCGGACUAACUCUUUGAUUAGUGGGGACAACAAAGGAGCUGCGGCAUGGUUUAUGGAAGACUGGUUUGAUCAGAAAAAUAUUGAACCAGCAAAGUUUAAUCCAUCUAAAGUGCGCAAACUUCCUCGAAGAAGUCUCAAACACCAUACCAACUGUUAGUGCGAAGCUGUUAAGCUUUCACCAUGAAAACUAACGUUGAGCUUCUUCAAUGUCUAAGAGAGAAAGAAAUGGGAAGUAUGUUUUUAUUCCAAAAAAAUUUGUUAGAGAAUGUACAAUCAGUGAUAUAUAUAGUACAAACUUACUUCUAAUGCCUAAUUGUGGUAUUGCAUCUAAUCUACUAAUUACACCACUAACUAACUGUGAAUUACAAAUUCUUGGUGACAGCUCACAUACAGCUAUCCUUAGCACAUGCUUCUCACGUGAUACCUUUAAUACUCCCCUCAAGCUGUGUAAUGGAAAUAGGUUGAACAUUUCAAGUUUUCCCAAUAAGAAUUCAUGUUGUGCCUUUCCUAAGCUCUUUGUAAGUCUGCCAGUUGCAUUGUAGUGGAUAUGUGUUGUGUACCAGACCAUCUUGAAUCUUUUCCCUAAUAAAAUGACAGUCGAUUUCUAUAUGUUUAGUUCGUUCAUAGUAAAUUGGAUUUGCAGCAAUUUGAAAUGCUGCUUUGCUAUCACAAUACAGCGUCACUGGUAAUUCCUUAAACAAUCCAACCAACCACAUUAUUUCUGCUACUUUAUUAGCCAUACUUCUAUAUUCAGCUUUAGCCGAGCUCCUAGAUAUUGUAUUUUGCUUCUUGGAUUUACAAGAAAUGAGUGAUCCUCCCAGCUUCAUAAGAAAACCACUCACUGACCUCCUACUCAUAAGACAAGUACCCCAAUCAGCAUCACAGUAAACUGGCAAGUGUGAUGAAAUUUCUGAUGACAACAUAAUACCAAGCCCUGGUGCAGUCUUCAAGUACCUUACUACCCUCAUGGUUGCCUCCAUGUAGGAUUUCUUCGGACUAUGCAUGAACUGAUAUAAGUUUUGGACAACAAAACUAAUGUCUGGCCUAGUCAUUAUCAAAUACAACAACUUUCCAACUAGUUUCUCGUAACCUCUCGGAUCUAUGAGCAAUGCAUCUGGUAAAUUUGUUUCACAACCUUGAUCAAAUUCUGUACUAGUCAACCUUUGAUUCUACUCUAAAGGUAUGCUAGAAGGUUUUGAACCUGCUAAUCCUACAUCAGCAAUCAAAUCCAAGGCAAAUUUUCUUUGACAUACCAAAAUGCCUUGUGGAUUUCUAGCAAUUUCAAGACCAAGAAAGUACUUCACCUCCCCUAAAUCCUUGAUCUUUAAAUGAUGUUGUAGCAAGAGCUUAGCUUCCUGAAUUAGAGAGGAGGAAGAACCAGUAAUCAACAAAUCAUCAACAUAAACAAGAACUAGACCAAGUCUGCACCAUUGGUCUUCUCAAAUAGGGAAUAGUCAUGAUGACUCUGUAGAAAACCUGAGAUAAUGAGAGCUUCACUAAGUUUCAAGUUCCAGUUCCUUGAGGCUUGUUUCAAGCCAUAAAAUGAUUUCUUAAGUUUGCAAACUAAAGGUUGUUCCCCGUUCCCCCUUGAUUAAAAGACCAGGGGGUAGAGACAUGUAGACAUUUUCUACCAAAUCACCCUGAAGGAAUGCAUUGAAAACAUUCAUCUGGUGUAAUCUCCAAUUGUGCAUAGCUGCAAGAGAUAAAACUACCCUCACUGUGACCAUCUUAAGUACAGGAGAAAAGGUCUCCUGAUAGUCAAGACCCUCUUGUUGAGUGUACCUUAUAGCUCCUAGUUUGGCCUUAUAUCUUUCCACUAGGCCUUGAGCAUUAAAUUUAGUUUUGAACACCCACUUGUACCCAAUGGCCCUCUUAUCAGAAGGAAGGGGAACUAAAUCCCAAGUUUGAUUAUGACUAAGGGCAUGUAAUUCUUGAUUCAUAGCAUCUACCCAUAAAGAGUGAUACAGUGCUUCUUCAUAAGAAUCUGGCUCUUUAAUAGUAGAAAAAUUACAAAGUGUAUGAUAAUAGGAAUUUGACAAAGCAGCAUAAGACAUAUAAUUGGACAAAGGGUAUGCAUAUGUAAAUGAUGAUGGUUUAGAAGAUCUGUGGAUGAAGUCAUUCAACCAAGAUGGUGUUUUUGAGGCUCUGGAUGACUUUUUAGUCCCAACAUGACUCUCAUGAACAGGUGGAAAGACUCCACUAGCAACAUCUCUACUUGGUGAAGGAACAAGUGAUACCACAGGAGCAUGAAAUUCAGGAAGAAUCACUGGUUCUGGUUAUGCAGGUGGAUUAUGAGAUCCUAUAUCAUCAGUGACCAUAGUAAAAGGAUCGUAAAGUCCAGCCAUUGGUUAUGGACAUGAUGGCUGAGGUCUCAAGCCCUGAGAAAUUUCUUGAGGAUUGUGCUUAAAUGGGAACACAUCCUCACUGAAAGUCACAUCCCUGCUGAUAAAAAAAGCUUUGUUAGUUAUGUCAUACAACUUAUAUCCCUUCUGUGUUGCAGAGUAUACCAUGUGGACAGCUUUCACAGCUCUUGCACCAAAUUUUUCAUUCUUAUGACCAACAUUGGUAGCAUAACAUAAGCACCCUAGGACCCUGAGAUGUUGUAUGUUUGGUUUCCUUCCAAAGAAGACUUCAAAGGGUGAUUGACCUUUCAAAGCAGUAGAUAGGAUCCAAUUGAUCAAAUAAGCAGCAUUUUGGACACAAAUACCCCAGAAUUUUAAAGGUAUAUCUGCUUGAAAUCUGAUAGCCCUGUCCACUUCCAAUAAUUGUCUGUGCUUUCUUUCCACCACCCCAUUCUAUUGGGAUGUGUAGGCACAAGAGUUUUGAUGGAUAAUCCCAGCUAAAAUAAAUAAAUCUUUGCAAACAGAAUUAAAAUUUUUUGUGUCAUUAUCACUUCUAAACACUUUAAUAGAACUAUCAAACUGAGUAUGCACCAACUGUAGAAAAUUCUUUAUUAUAACAGAAAUAUUAUUUUUCAGUUUAAGCAAGUAGAUCCAAACCAUUCUACUACAAUCAUCUACUAAUGUGAUAAAGAAUCGAUGCCCAUCAUGGGUAGAAACUCUGUAAGGGCCCAGACAUCCCCAUGAACAAGAUGAUACAUUUUACUUGCUCUACUAGUACUUUGUGGAAAUGGCAGCCUAGUUUGUUUAGCUAGAGGACAAACUGAACAUAACCUAGUAAUAUCCAUGUUAUUUAGUCUUAUUACAUCCAUUUGAUGCAUUAUUUUGUGAGGGACAGCCCUAAUCUCUUAUGCCACAAAUCACUUAUAUCAACUGCAUUGAGAGCCACAAAGUUCUUCUUCACUUAUUCUCUUGGAUCACCAUUCCAGUAAUACAAUCCACCUAUCAGUUUACCAGUCCCCUUCACCACUCUAGUGUGAAGGUCAUGCAGUAAGCAAUAAUCAGGAUGGAAUAUCAUAGAGCACCCUAAUUCUCUAGUCAAUUUGGAAACUGAAAGUAAAUUGACUUGAAAAUCAGGAACACAAAAGACAUUACUGAUCUCUGCUUGUCCCAAUUUGUUUUUACCAAUAUAUAAAAUAGGAAUACUAGUCCCAUUAGGCAAGAGAAUGUUGUCAAUCCCUUCUGUUGUUUUUUCAGUAGUAAUAGAGAGUUUUGUAGGAUUACAUACCAUAUGAUUGGUUGCUCCUGUAUCCACUAUCCAAUCAUCUGUAUAUUUAUUAGCCAUAAAAGCACAAACGGUACCUGCUACAUUUGCAGAUGAUGCAGAAUCAGUUCCUUUGCCUUUUUCUAGCAUCUUUUAUACUUGAGCAUACUGAUUUGGUGUGAAUGUCAUAGUUAUUCCUUCUGGAUUUCCAAUUUCUGUUGUUUUAGCUGUAUGACCACUUGUAGAGUGAUCAACAAAACCUGGCACAUAACCUCUAAAAUUGCCAAUACCAGGUCCUUCUUGUGCAGGAAAUUGGCCAUGAUAAACACCAGUCAUGUCAUCCCCAGAAGCUACUGGUGCUACAUUGUGUCCCAGACUAAAAACUUCAGAAAACCUUCCAUAUUGCAGAGAUGGAGCAUAAGACGGAGCUCGAAUAGGUGGAGGUUGAUUGCCCCAAGGUUGUGGUGGUCUAAAACCAUCAAAGUAAGUAUCAUUCACUACAUGUUUCCUUCUUUCUUUGUAAUCAUAUGGAUAUCCAAUAAGUUGGUAACAAUCUUCAGCUCUGUGACCUUUCAUUUUACAAAAACCACAUUGCUCAUCCCAAUUACACUUAGGUUUGCCUUUUGGUUUAGUUUGGUGAGGACGAGGACUAUGACCUCUUGCACUCCACAUUGCGACAAUAUCAUUCCCAUCCCCGAGGUUAAUUGUUCCAGCACCAUAAAAAGCUUUUUGACUCUCAUCCCCAAGGAUUAGUGCAUAUGCCUGAUUCAAAGUUGGCUCGUUUGAUUUCAUCAAGAUCUGACCUCAUGAUUGAGCAUAAGUUUCACUCAAGCUACUAAGAAAUUGAAGUAGACGUUGUUGUUGAAGGUGUUCAACAUAGCUUUUAGAUUUGGGACAACCAUAAUUUGGUGAAGGCACAACUGCAUCAAAUUCUACCCACGGCAGCUUCAAUCUGGUAAAGUAGGUUGAUACGAUGUCGGUUCCCUGUGUAAUUGUUGCAAUUUCUCUGUGUAAUUGAAAAAUUCGCACAAGAUUAACCUUGUCAAAACGUUCUCAGAUCUUCUCAGACAAGAUGAGCAUCUGAUGCAUAUAUGAUUCCACUUAAUAAAUUCAGCAAAACUGUAUUAAUAAUCCAUGAAAGGACUAUUUCGUUAAGUGUAUCCCAGUGCUCCUGUAAUUCCUUCUCAAUUGAACUCUUCGUACAAGUACCGCGUACAAAACCUAAUUUCCUCUUCGCCUGAAGUGAGAUAUACAUCGAUUUCCUCCACAAGCCAUAGUUCUCAGAACCUGUGGGCUAAACUAGAACCAAGACAGAACCAGGAGUAUCCGAUGGACUCACAAAUAAUGGAUGAGUAUUAUCAAUUUUGAUUUCCACCAUGGCUGAAAUGCAGGUGAAAGACGGAAGGAAGAAAUUGCACUAUUUCAAAGAAGAAAGAAAAAAAAGUUCGAAGCUUAAUCGUUUGGCUUUGAUACCAUGUUAAGCUUUCACCAUGGAAACUGAUGUUGAGCUUCUUCAAUGUCUUAAGAGAGAAAGAAAUGGGAAGUAUGUUUUUAUUCCAAAAAAAUCUGUUAGAGAAUGUACAAUCAGUGAUAUAUAUAGUACAAACUUACUUCUAAUGCCUGAUUGUGCUAUUGCAUCUAAUCUCUAAUUACACCACUAACUAACUGUGAAUUACAAAUGCUUGGUGGCAGCUCACAUACAGCUGUCCUUAGCACAUGCUUCUCACGUGAUACCUUUAAUAGAAGCGUAAGUGAUUGUCUCCUUAUCAAGGUGAUGAAUUAUCUUAGUAGAGCUAAAGUGCUGAUUGGUUACUAAUUGAUUGUACCAAGAUUGCACUUUCCUCCACGAAUUUUGCACUUUCUAGGUUGAUGUACUAGUUUUUUUUUCUUUAAACCUCUAUAUAAUACGACUUACAUUAACUUUUGACUUGUCUGAUGUGAGCUAUUCCAGUCGGAAUAUGCUGUGAGGGAGAAAAGGUAGGAGCAGAAGGCUGGUGCCACAUCGUAGUACUUUAGUGAAUCUGAUGGAGUUUGUUGGAAUAAAAGGCUAGAAUGAAAAUAAAGUCUUCUAAAUAUAUUGGUAGAUAGAGGUCUAAAUGUAGAUAUCGUUUGACUCACAUCUAUGUGAAGUGGAAAGUUUUUUCCCCAUUGUGUACGACAUUCUAACUGUAAAAGUAAACAUCAUACUAAACUAGCAAUUUCCGAAGGUUCUGUAUUCUGCACAAUCCAUGGAUGGUCAAGUAACUUCUUAAGGGACAGACGUUAAGAUGAAUCCUUGACCAGCAUGUGUUAUUCCACAUAAUAUUAGUCUACCUUAAACAUAAGUAUAGUAGCCUAUGUGAAAAGUAGCUGAACAAUUGUGAAAAUAACCUGAAUAAUAAAAUGGUUUAAUGUAAAAAAAAAUUAACUGAAUUCUUUUUUCUGGGAUUGCAACUAUCCAUUACAAAAUAAAGAAUUGUUGAUAGAGAUUUAGUUAUGCGAUGUCUUCACCCUGCUCAACAAUAUCAGAUUUAGUGAAUUGCUGGCUACGUACUUGUCAUACUUGCUCUUUUGGCUUCAACACUUAACAACUAUGUAUUAUUGAAUAUCAAGAUGAUGUCCUUGGAAAAUUAAUAUUCGUGUAGUAAGUUAAUUUUUUAUAGUAUUUUGAUGACCAAUGCUAAGUUCUAAGUUCUCUGACGGCGGAGUUGAGAGGCUUAACAAUGAUUUGUUGGUUUUAUUCAGGGUGUUCGGUGCUUGGCGCUCAAGACCUGAGUAUUUUUUCCCGAAAUUGGCAAUUGAGUGAAGGUUAAUGCAGCUUACACCUCGUUGUCAAAACGGAAAGAGGCACAUUUUGAGAACUCAAUUUUCGCUGCGUUCAGACCACAUAUCUCGGAAUUUUUGUUUUUCUAAAAGAAAAUCAGUUUUAUCAAAUAUAAUUUCUUUUUGUGUUUCUGGUGUAGGUGCAUUCUAGGUUCUCUAUGUGUGUCUUGAGUCAUAAUGGUGAAAUUAACACACUUCAAGGCAGUGUGAAGUGGUAAGUUCCUACAGAAUUACAUUUUAUAGUAUAGUAUUCGCAGAGCUUAUUGUAACUUAUUUAAGAUUGAUCUCAAAAAAGCAGUGGUAGUUUAGAUAAUUUGAUUUCCAUGUGAAAAUUGAGAAGGAACUUUAUUGACAUAUUCUAUAAUACGAAUUGUGAGGAUAAGGAGUUGAUAAUUUAGUUUCCAUUAAAAAAUGAGAAGAAAUUUUACUAAUGCGUUGUAUACUACAAAUUGUGAGAAUAAGGAGUUGAUAGUAGUUGCUGCAACUCAUCUCCUUUGAUGGCGCUUUCUUCCCCUUUUCACCACUAAAGGUGACUCCACAUUCUCCACUCCGUUUCUGACUUUGAAAAUGGUGAAAAGGAGGAGGAGCUGGCGCGUGCACUAAUGCACCAUAGCUCACAUCAAAUCCUAAAACGUGCUGAACAAACCAAAAUUUCCUUUUUUUAGGAUUAGCUAACAGUAGAUAAUUCUUUGGUAAAAGUAAAAGGAGGUAACUUAUCAGCAUUCAACAAUAUGAGAAUAGGAAAAGGUAGAGAAGCCUCAAAAUGAGCCACUUUCAAUAAUCCAUAGCAAAUUGGCAUUUUAAAGAACUUAUAUAUGAUUGUACUGUAUAGAAUGAUUAGCCUCAACAAGAGUGGGAUGGACACCUACCAUGUAGUACCUAAUAUUCAUCACAGAUAUUCUAUCAUUCAAAGUGGAGAAAUACCCUCAUACCCUGAUCUAAUUGUCAAUGUAUCCAGUGAAAGGUUCCGCGAAAAGACUUGCAAGGUGGAAGAUACAAUGUUUACAAACAGGGUUAAGGUUAAUGGAUGAUAAAUAUAUUACCUUUUCUUUUCAUAUAGACAAAAACUCUUCAUCCUAGACAGCACCAAUGAAAUGUACAUUAUAUAACCAGUAUUCCAGAUUAAAUUCCAUUCAGAUUCAAUAACCAUUGAAUGUAAUUACUUUUUCUUAUUCCAUAUUGCAGCAUUAAACGGUAGCCCGGUGUAUUAAAAUUCCCUCUUCGCACAGGUCAGGGAAAGGGCCUCACCACAAGGGUGUAUUGUACGCAGCCGUACCUUGCAUUUCUGCAAAAGGCUAUUUUUGAGGCUUGAACCCGUGACCUCCGGGUCACAUGGCAACAACUUUACCAGUUACUCCAAGGCUCUCUUCUCCAUAUUGCAGCAUUAAUAUCCAAAAUAGUCUAGCAAAUCUAAAAGAAUGGUUUGAGACUAAGUCUAUCAACUGUUGUUAGUCUUUGGUGCAAAGCCAUCCAUAUGAUGAAUUGAAUGUCUAGAAAUUAGACCUUUAAUCAUAGCUAAUUGUUUCCAUUCAACACUGGCUUGUUGUGGCAGCAUGGUUUGGCAAGAUUUGCUAAUAUUGUACUUAUCAUUAUUGCAGCAUUUAUGGAGGGCAGCAGUUAUAUCAGUACGAUUGAGGUGCGGAUGCAAGCAACAGUUGUUAAAUGUGGAACUUCAAGUGCAGCACUGCCAGUUGAACUGCUCGCAGCAGCUAAAAAACUGUAACAGGUUAGUAAACUUGAAUUUCAAUCAGAAACUCCUAACACAGAGAAGAAAGAACUUUCAUAUGUGCUCGGAAACUAAUACCUGUACUUUUUUCCCUCUACUAGCUAUUAAAUAGUUAUCUAUGUCCUUUGUAUCAACUUUCAUUUACCUCGUGGAUUUUAAUUCACCACAGGCAAUGCUAAGCACAAAGUAUCACACAACCAGUCAUAUGCUCUAUCAUUUAAUUUAUUUGUUUGGUUUUGAGUAUUUGAAAUGUGACAUUGAAAUGUCACAUUUAAGUAAAAUAAAAGAAAGAUUUUUGAAUGUUUUGGUCUCAAAGCAAAGGAUUGAUGACUAAACAUAUGAGGUUAAGUAUAAUAAAAGAAAGACUUUUGAGUGUUGCAGUCUCAAAAUAAAUGGUAGUUUGUCUUUUGUUACUAAUGGAAGUACAGAGAAGAAACCACAAGGUACUUGCUGUUCAGGCCUUAAAUUGGUGUUGACAACUGAUGCUGACUGUCUUUGUGAAGGCUUUAAGAACAGUGCUUAGUUAGGUGUUGUUCUUAAUGUUACUAUAGCUAUGUCUCUUCCUGCUGCUUGCCAUGUAUCUGCUUCUUUUGUUAGUAACUGUGGAUGUGAGUGCUUUGUUUUCCUUACUGCAUGCUCUUUUUAAGAGGAAUAAAAAAAUAUUAAUAGUAAUAUUAUGUAAUUUUGAGGUUUUAAUUGGUGUUUAAUUUUUUUUGUUUGUGUUUUAUAUUUGUACAGUGAGUACUUACACGGGAGCUGCUCCUGGUACGUACAGAUCUGGCUUUUAUUGUAUUUUUAGUUUCUUUUUGUGUCGGUUUGACUGUGGUAAUAUUAAGAGUAAUAUUAUGUAAUUUUGAGGUUUUAAUUGGUGUUUAAUUUUUUUGUUUGUGUUUUGUAUUCGUACAGUGAGUACUUACACGGGAGCUGCUCCUGGUACGUACAGACCUGGCUUUUAUUGUAUUUUUAGUUUCUUUUUGUGUCGGUUUGACUGUGGUCUCUGUUUGGAUUAAAAACACACCCUUAGGGAUCGUUUGGUGUCCGGUAUAAGUAGUUCAAAUAAAGGAUUAUUUUAUCCAAUGUUUGGUUGGAGAUAUUAGUUAACACCGGAAUAACUUAUCCCACCAUUUACACCAUGAUGAUGGGGGGUUAAGUUAUCCCGGUACAGGUUUUCCUUAACGAUAUUGCAUUUGUUUGCUAAUUAAAUAUAUACAUACACCACCAAGUCUACUACUUCCGAUUUUUUGAGUUCUUGCUGCAUUUGUUAGUUCCAUUUGUUGUUAUUAUUGUUAAUUUGAUGACAUUUCACAUCUCUGUUGCAGCACAUUUAACUCGAUAAUGAAGCAUCCUGCUGGUUCCUUCACCAAACAAGGUGUUGAAGUAGACAAAAUGCAAUUUUUUAAGUAAAAUAUAUCACU